GAUGAACGCUAGCGGCAGGCCUAAUACAUGCAAGUCGAACGGUGUCUUCGGACAUAGUGGCGCACGGGUGCGUAACACGUAUGCAACCUACCUUACAUUGGGGGAUAGCCUUUCGAAAGGGAGAUUAAUACCGCAUAAGACAGUAGCUGGGCAUCCAGCAGCUGUUAAAGAUUUAUCGAUGUAAGAUGGGCAUGCGUCCAAUUAGUUAGUUGGCGAGGUAAUGGCUCACCAAGACUUUGAUUGGUAGGGGAACUGAGAGGUCAAUCCCCCACACUGGCACUGAGAUACGGGCCAGACUCCUACGGGAGGCAGCAGUAGGGAAUAUUGGGCAAUGGACGCAAGUCUGACCCAGCCAUGCCGCGUGCAGGAUGAAGGCGUUAUGCGUUGUAAACUGCUUUUAUACAGGAAGAAACGACUCUUGCGAGAGGCAUUGACGGUACUGUAUGAAUAAGCACCGGCUAACUCCGUGCCAGCCGCCGCCGUAA
Molecule: ribosomal RNA, 485 nt
Filed under: uncultured bacterium
Lineage: Bacteria
Description: partial 16S ribosomal RNA
Rfam family: Bacterial small subunit ribosomal RNA
Source: RNAcentral